UGGGGAAUUUUGACAAUGGGCGAAAGCCUGAUCCAGCAAUGCCGCGUGUGUGAAGAAGGCCUUCGGGUUGUAAAGCACUUUUGUCCGGAAAGAAAUCCUUGGCUCUAAGUACAGUCGGGGGAUCGACGGUACCGGAAGAAUAAGCACCGGCUAACUACGUGCCAGCAGCCGCGGUAAUACGUAGGGUGCAAGCGUUAAUCGGAAUUACUGGGCGUAAAGCGUGCGCAGGCGGUUUGCUAAGACCGAUGUGAAAUCCCCGGGCUCAACCUGGGAACUGCAUUGGUGACUGGGCAGGCUAGAGUAUGGCAGAGGGGGGUAGAAUUGCCACGUGUAGCAGUGAAAUGCGUAGAGAUGUGGAGGAAUACCGAUGGCGAAAGGCAGCCCCCUGGGCCAAAUACCGACGCUCAUGCACG
This 413-nucleotide ribosomal RNA is filed under the name uncultured bacterium. RNAcentral's name for it is "partial 16S ribosomal RNA". It matches the Rfam family "Bacterial small subunit ribosomal RNA", at positions 355 to 755 of the family's 1533-position model. The record is from RNAcentral.